Molecule: ribosomal RNA, 875 nt
Filed under: uncultured bacterium
Lineage: Bacteria
Description: bacterial SSU rRNA
Rfam family: Bacterial small subunit ribosomal RNA
Source: RNAcentral
UACGUGCCAGCAGCCGCGGUAACACGUAGGGGGCGACGUUAUCCGGAUUCAUUGGGCGUAAAGCGCGCGCAGGCGGCCGCCUAAGCGGGACCUCUAUCCCGGGGCUCAACCCCGGGCCGGGUCCCGAACUGGGCGGCUCGGGUGCGGUAGGGGUAGCGGAAUUCCCGGUGUAGCGGUGGAAUGCGCAGAUAUCGGGAGGAACACCGACGGCGAAGGAGCCUACUGGGCCGUCACCGACGCUGAGGCGCGAAAGCCGGGGGAGCGAACAGGAUUAGAACCCUGGUAGUCCCGGCCGUAAACGAUGCUAGCUAGGUGUGGGGGGACACGCCCCCCGUGCGCAGCCAACGCAUUAAGCUAGCCGCCUGGGGAGUACGGCCGCAAGGCUAAAACUCAAAGAAUUGACGGGGGCCCGCACAAGCAGCGGAGCAUGUGGCUUAAUUCGAAGCAACGCGAAGACCUUACCAGGGCUUGACAUGACGGUGAAGCGGCGGAAACGCCGUGGCCGAGAGGAGCCGCACAGGUGGUGCAUGGCUGUCGUCAGCUCGUGUCGUGAGAUGUUGGGUUAAGUCCCGCAACAGCGCAACCCCUGCCGCGUGUUGCCAGCAUUCAGUUGGGGACUCGCGCGGGACUGCCGGCCCAAGCCGGAGGAAGGCGGGGACGACGUCAAGUCAUCAUGCCCCUCAUGCCCUGGGCUGCCACGUGCUACAAUGGCCGGCACAAUGGGCUGCCACCCCGCGAGGGGGAGCGAAUCCCGCAAGCCGGCCCCAGUUCGGACCGGAGGCUGCAACCCGCCUCCGCGAAGCCGGAGUUGCUAGUAUCGCGGAUCAGCACGCCGCGGUGAAUGCGUUCCCGGGCCUUGCACACACCGCCCGUAA